UACGUAGGGGCCUAGCGUUGUCCGGAAUUAUUGGGCGUAAAGAGCUUGUAGGCGGUUUGUCGCGUCUGCCGUGAAAAUUCGAGGCUCAACCUCGAACUUGCGGUGGGUACGGGCAGACUAGAGUGUGGUAGGGGAGACUGGAAUUCCUGGUGUAGCGGUGAAAUGCGCAGAUAUCAGGAGGAACACCGAUGGCGAAGGCAGGUCUCUGGGCAUUAACUGACGCUGAGGAGCGAAAGCAUGGGGAGCGAACAGG
This 253-nucleotide ribosomal RNA is filed under the name uncultured bacterium. RNAcentral's name for it is "partial 16S ribosomal RNA". It matches the Rfam family "Bacterial small subunit ribosomal RNA", at positions 524 to 776 of the family's 1533-position model. The record is from RNAcentral.